Molecule: ribosomal RNA, 292 nt
Filed under: uncultured prokaryote
Description: partial 16S ribosomal RNA
Rfam family: Bacterial small subunit ribosomal RNA
Source: RNAcentral
GUGUCAGCAGCCGCGGUAAUACGUAGGUGGCGAGCGUUAUCCAGAAUUAUUGGGCGUAAAGAGCGCGCAGGUGGUUGAUUAAGUCUGAUGUGAAAGCCCACGGCUUAACCGUGGAGGGUCAUUGGAAACUGGUCAACUUGAGUGCAGAAGAGGGAAGUGGAAUUCCAUGUGUAGCGGUGAAAUGCGUAGAGAUAUGGAGGAACACCAGUGGCGAAGGCGGCUUCCUGGUCUGUAACUGACACUGGGGCGCGAAAGCGUGGGGAGCAAACAGGAUUAGAUACCCGGGUAGUCC